This 924-nucleotide ribosomal RNA is filed under the name uncultured Eubacterium sp. Its description in RNAcentral is "bacterial SSU rRNA". It matches the Rfam family "Bacterial small subunit ribosomal RNA". Lineage: Bacteria; Bacillati; Bacillota; Clostridia; Eubacteriales; Eubacteriaceae. The record is from RNAcentral.
UUGAACGCUGGCGGUAUGCUUAACACAUGCAAGUCGAACGGCAGCAUAAUCUUCGGAUUGAUGGCGAGUGGCGGACGGGUGAGUAAUAUAUAGGAAUCUGCCUUCUAGUGGGGGAUAACUAUCCGAAAGGAUAGCUAAUACCGCAUAAUGAUUACGGUUUAAAGCAGGGGAUCUUCGGACCUUGCGCUACAAGUUGAGCCUAUACAAGAUUAGCUAGUUGGUGAGGUAAAGGCUCACCAAGGCGACGAUCUUUAGCUGGUCUGAGAGGAUGAUCAGCCACACUGGGACUGAGACACGGCCCAGACUCUUACGGGAGGCAGCAGUGGGGAAUAUUGGACAAUGGGCGCAAGCCUGAUCCAGCAAUACCGCGUGUGUGAAGAAGGCCUUCGGGUUGUAAAGCACUUUUGUUAGGGAGGAUGGCUAUUUAGGAUAAUACCUUAAGUAGUGAACUAUCCAGAGAUGGAUGGSUGCCUUCGGGAACUGUAAGACAGGUGCUGCAUGGCUGUCGUCAGCUAGUGUCGUGAGAUGUUGGGUUAAGUCCCGCAACGAGCGCAACCCUYGUCAUUAAUUGCCAUCAUUUAGUUGGGCACUUUAAUGAAACUGCCGGUGACAAACCGGAGGAAGGUGGGGAUGACKUCAAGUCCUCAUGGCCCUUAUGGUUAGGGCUUCACACGUCAUACAAUGGUACAUACAGAGGGUCGCCAACCCGCGAGGGGGAGCUAAUCCCAGAAAGUGUAUCGUAGUCCGGAUUGGAGUCUGCAACUCGACUCCAUGAAGUUGGAGUCGYUAGUAAUCGCGGAUCAGCAUGUCGCGGUGAAUACGUUCCCGGGUCUUGUACACACCGCCCGUCACACCAUGGGAGUUGAUUGCUCCAGAAGUAGGUAGCUUAACCGNCAAGGGGGGCGCUUANCCACGGAGUGGUCA